AGCCAAUCCCAAACAGAGGCUGAAUAGGGUCAAGAGGCUGUGGGAAAUCCAAGGUGAUUUAGAAGCUGUUGAUCUGGGAUUAGGCUUUUUCCUAUUGAAGUUUGAGGUAAAGUCAGAUUUCACAAAAGUAUUCACAGGAGGGCCAUGGGUUAUUUUAGAUCACUGUUUGACUGUGAGAAAAUGGAAGGCAGAUUUCAAGCCAUCUGUAGCUGAAGACAUCUCCACAGCUGUGUGGGGUGGGUCACCGGCAAGAACACUGUGGAAGGACUCCGACUACGAACCCAGACAAGUCCACAGCAGCUUUUGACAACACCAAGGCACACCGGCGCGUGGAAAACUCAGCCUCUGCUGAAACUAUGGAGCCGGAUCAGACGAAACCAGGUAUGGGCCGGGCCAUGGAUGCUUGUAGCUCGAAAGCCCAAACGACCAAACCAAGGGAAGAAACCUAUAACGAACCAACCCAAUUUGGAGAAGAACAGAUUUGGUCCACUACAAAAUGCUAAAGAAGGUGCGCGGAUGCCUUGCUCAUGUGGGUGAAAACCAGGUGGAAGAUUUGAAUAUCUAUAAAGACACAUAUUUGUUAGAAAAAAAAAAAAAAAAAAA
Camellia sinensis is the source of this 603-nucleotide non-coding RNA. The record is from RefSeq and is a predicted model, not a curated record. Lineage: Eukaryota; Viridiplantae; Streptophyta; Magnoliopsida; Ericales; Theaceae.